Molecule: long non-coding RNA, 2284 nt
Organism: Callithrix jacchus (white-tufted-ear marmoset)
Lineage: Eukaryota; Metazoa; Chordata; Mammalia; Primates; Cebidae
Source: Ensembl
AUGACUCUAAGGUUUUUUAAAGAUUACGCUGCUAAAAAGGGGCCUGGUGGGAGGCGAUUGGAUCGUGGGGGCAGACUUCCCCCUUGCCAUUCCCCUUAUUAUGAUUGCUGGUUUGAUUCAGUCCCUCAGAAGAACCUGAGCCCAAAGAACCUGGAGGAAGAUUUAUUUGGACAUUUGGAAAUACCUUCAUGUUUUCUGUUCCUUCUGUCUGACUCUAUGACUGAAAGUCAGACGUAAGAAACAGGAGUUUCCCUGCACAAUCACUCUUCUCUUGUUUGCCACCAUGUGAGACGUGCCUUUCACCUUCCACCAUGAUUGUGAGGUCUCCCCAGCCACAUGGAACUGUAAGUUCAAUAAACCUCUUUCUUUUGUAAAUUGCCCAGUCUCCACUAUGCCUUUAUCAGCAGCACGAACUGGACUAAUACAAUACUGUUGCACUGGGUAUUGUUUUAACAUGAAUUCUGGAGGUGACUCAAACAUUCAAAGCAUAGCACCUGGGAACUGCCACAAAUGGAUAUUCUUGGGCUCUACCCCGGACAUACUGAAUCUUGGAGGCAAGGGAUCUAGCAAUCUGUGUUUUAACAAAGUCCUCAAGAUGAUCUGGAUGCACCCUAAAGUUUAGGACUGUUUUAAGUCACUGAGAUUCUAGAGUGUGUUCAUGACAUCAGCAAGCAUUGGCUUAACCAAUAUAGACAGUAAUCUGGAUGGUGGGAGUGAAGAUGGCAGUUUGAAAUGGAGUGGUCAUGUCCUUCCUCAGAAGGACACUUAAUUAAGAGGCAGGGAGGGAGGCAUAGGAAGAUGUAGAGUAAGAUCAUUGUAUCCACUGGAAAGAUAUUGCAAUGGACUUGAGAGAACAAGUCUGGUAUUUUUGCAGAAAAAAACAGAAGUGGAAAGUGGCCAGAGUAGAAUGUCUAUGGGAAAGGGUAGGAGAUGAGAUCAGAGAGGACAGCAGGCAUCAUAUUGCCUGGCGUAAAGGGCCCGAGUAAGGCUUUAGAUGCUCUUUGAAGUCCAAUGUGAUUUAUUUAUUCAGCUAUUUUUUCCUUGUAAAAUUGUGGUUAAAAUGAGCAUAACAUAAAAGUUACUAUUUUAACCAUUUUUAAGUGUAUAAUUUAGUGUCAUUAAGUACAUUGACAAUAUUAUACAACUAUCACCAUUAACCCAUUUUUAGAACUUUUUCAUCAUCUCAAACAGAAACUCUGUACCUACUAGACAGCUCCCAUUACCCCUUCCCCUUCACCCCCUUGUCUCCUGGUAACCCCUAUUCUAAUUGCUGCCUCUGUGAAUUUGCCUAUUUUAGGCAUCUCACAUAAAUAUACAAUAUUUAUCCUUGUAUGUCAAGCUUAUUUAGUUUAAUUAUGUAUCCUUGCGUGUUAAGCUUAUUUAACUUAGUAUAAUAUUUUCAAAGUUCGUCCAUGUUGUACGUGUCAGAAUUUCCUUCUUUUUAAAGGCUGAAUAUAUCCCGUUGUAUGUAUUCUAUGCAACAUUUUGCUUACCCAUUCAUCUGUGAUGCACACUUGGGUUGUUUUCCACUUCUGGCAGUUGUGAACAAUGCCACUGUGAACAUUGGUGUACAAGGAUGAGAGAGUGUGUGUGUGUGUGUGUGUGUGUGAGUCCCUGCUCUCAAUUCAUGUGGAUCAACAAACUUUUUGAGUGUCUGGUACUGUAUAUUGAGAAUGAAGAGAAGCAUAGGACCUGAUCUGGUCAAAGUUCUCAUUCCAGUGAGGGAGAACAUAAGUGAAACUCAGUUUGCAAUGUAUAGGAAUGCUAGAGGUAUGCUCAUAUAGAGUACCUAGGAGGUGAUCUAGAGAUCUCUAGAGUGUGUCAGGAAAGGCUUCCUGGAGGCAUAGGGCUGAGCUCCAUCUGAAAGAACAAGUAGGAAUUGGGUGAAGAGAGGGAGUGGCAUUCUAAGGAGAUAGAUGGUAGAGCAUCAAAGCAAAGAGGCAUGAGUGCGUAACUCCUCUGGAGAAGUUCAGGCUGGCGUAGGAGGGUUGAAGAAUGGUAAGGAGGGAGUAGGAGAGAGUGGUGAGUGAUGAGACCACAGAAAGAAGCAAGGGCCUGGCUGCAGAGGAUUUGGCAAGAGAUGUUAAGGAGCCUGACACUAAUCCCUUAGGGCAGUGGUUCUUAAUCUUGACUGCACUUGAGAAUUGCUCAGCAGCUUUCAAAAAACACCAAUGCCAAGUCUGAGUUCCACCCCCAUAGAUUCUGGUUUAAUUGGUCUGGGUUGGGGCCAGGACACUGGCAUUUUUUAAAUUUCCCCAGGUAAUUCCAGUGUGCAGCCAGGGUU